UCCCUGGUGGCUCAGAGGUUAAAGCAUCUGCCUGGAAUGCAUGAGACCAGGGUUCGAUCCCUGGAUCGGGAA
Non-coding RNA from Bos taurus (domestic cattle), 72 nucleotides. The record is from Rfam. NCBI's taxonomy places the organism in Eukaryota, Metazoa, Chordata, Mammalia, Artiodactyla, Bovidae.